This 429-nucleotide long non-coding RNA is filed under the name Pan troglodytes (chimpanzee). RNAcentral's name for it is "long non-coding RNA NONPTRT001785". The record is from RNAcentral. Lineage: Eukaryota; Metazoa; Chordata; Mammalia; Primates; Hominidae.
UUUCACUACCAUUCCUACAGUGAUUGGCAAGAUACCGUUUCUACCUCACUCUCCAUGUACCAUGCCAGUGACAUCUUAGCUGCUAGAGUGUGGAGCUGGCCUGUGGGAGUCAAGUAUUGGUGAUGUGACCUGUUCACGCAGGGGAAACUUGAACAUUCGCAGGUCAGAAAUCUGACAGAGGUCCCACUGGGCUAAAAUCAACGUGUCUUCAGGGAUGUGUUCCUUUCUGGACCUGUGAGAGCAGAAUCUGUUUCCUUGCCUUUUCUGGUUUCUGGAGACUACCCACCUUUCCUUGGUUCAUGAUUUUUUUCUCCAUCUUCAAAGCUAGUGUUUUCCGUUCCUUUCAGGCUGCCAUCUCUCUGGUUCUCUGGAGCUGGAACAGGUUUUUUGAUUUUAAUUGAUUAAAUAACUGUGAUUAGAUUGUGCCCA